GUGCUUUCGCAGGCGCCAUUAUUCACAGAGAUAGUCUCGGUCAAAAUCUCAUUUUAAAGUUGGAUUUAGGAUUUUGAGAAUGGUUCCUACACUUCCUUUGUAAAUUAUUUUUUGUUAAAUGUAACAAACUGUAUCGUUAACUUAGUUGCUGCCUGGCUUGUUUGGCAAAUGAAUGUCGGAGCCGUUGCAUUCAACAUUUUCAGCAUACCAUCACAUCUUAACGUUACUCGACGUGGAGGAGCAGGCAGAGUAAUUGUCAAGAAAAGAAGACACCAUUAACGUUACGACUUUUUAUUUAAAAGAGAUUAUAUGACCAGAAGAUCUGACAUCACGGAGUUCUUCAAGGAUAACACACCUUUUCUGCCAAACGAGGUCAUAAUUGCUGCUGUACUUUGCAUCCCAAGC
This is a long non-coding RNA of Carassius carassius (crucian carp), 405 nucleotides long. RefSeq lists it as uncharacterized. The record is from RefSeq and is a predicted model, not a curated record. Lineage: Eukaryota; Metazoa; Chordata; Actinopteri; Cypriniformes; Cyprinidae. The transcript is spliced from 3 exons.